GCUGACGCUCCAUCCACUGAGCCAAAUUGGUUAGGGCCAGUUGGUACCCUUUUGUUGGCUGUUCUUCCCAAGUGCCAAAACCUCCGGAACAAAAAUAGAAAAACUACUACCAUUCACAAUUUUAUGGAGAUAACACAACUACCUUUUUUUUAAGAGUUGAUGUUUAUAGGUGGUGUUUACAGGUGGCCCCUCAGUGACUCUGACCCAGGUCAGCAGCUAUCUCUGCCACCCAUUCUUUGCUCAUUGGUAAGGUCUGCUUCUAUAUUCCAGCCCCCAGAGAAUUCUACAUGUCUUGCCUUUUUGAGACAGUGUCAUAUGCUCAACAAGGAGUCAAAAAAGUUGUGAUUUUAAAUAUUGACUCCACUACUUACUACCUGAGAAAACAGGCCCCAUUAUAUCUUACCCUCAGCUACUUCAUCUGUAAAAUGGGUUAUCAUCAGAACACCUACUACAAAAGAAAUGGCUGUGAAAGCCCUUUAUGGCCUGGAAAGUGCCAUACACACAUGGAUUAUCUUUCCUUCAUUGCUGUGACUUUUUUCCCUCUGCCUCUUAGUCUUCUUUCCAUUACCCAUAGGGCUUUUUAUUCUUGAACAUGAAAGUGAAAAUUGGUUUAAGGUGCUGAAUUCACAGCUAUUAUGUGAUACCAACCACCAUAUCUUCCCUAGAAACUUCUUUACAUAACACCUGACUGUCGCAGAGUCAUUAGAAUUGGGAUGGGCCUUGACAUAGGGAUGUUGCCACUGCUAGUCUUACUGUUCUAAACAAGAAGCAGUGCCUGGUGUAAGUUAGAAAGUAAACCAAAAAGCAAUCGAUAAACAAAGAACUACAGAUCUGUCUAACAAAAUUAAUCAAAGCUAUGUUGCUUUGACCUAGUUUUCUGAAUCACAAAUUAUACGGACUGACACCAAAUACCUUAUUUAGAAUGAUUUGCAAGACCACAGGAAAGAGAUUCCUAUGGGAACAUAACGUGUUAUAUUCAUUGAGAGAAAACCACACUUCCUAAAGUGAAAGCAAAUAGAAACACAAAGUAGAACCUAACCUUGGCCUCAUUACUCAUCCUGUUUUCUACCACUGAAAUCAGAAGGCAAAUUUAUUGACAUCAUUAUGUUAAGUGCUGGAGACACAGUAGUAAAUGAAACCCACUCCUUGCCUUUAUGGAGUUCCCAGUCUAGUGGAGGGAUAUAAAUAUCACCUGAUGUUUAAAACUUUUGUUAGACCAUAGUUAGUAUUCUCCUUUUAAAUUUUAAUCAUUCCACCUAAAUUUCCCUGUAAAAAUAGUCUAUUCCCAAAGCUAUACUUUCCCCCAACUAUUUUACACCUGUAUUUUGAUUCCUAUGACCUCUACCUCUCAGGCUUUAGAUAAGUGGGAACCAAUCACUUUUUUUUUUGCCUCGCCUCUGUAAAUGUCAGUUUUAUUAAAAUGAAUCAUUUUUCCUGAAUUUUAAAAUAAUGUGAAUCUGACUCUUCACAUACCAAACCCCUGCCCAGAUGUGAGAAUGUGCCCUGAAGACUUCUAGGGAAGCUAUGAGUAGAUGCCACUUAGAAAGAACAUCAGGCCCACUCUCCAUGCCUUUAGGAAAUAGGUUGGCCUAGCGGUGCCAUUCUGAGAAUAGGCCCUGUUUAAGGGUGACGUAAGUAUGACUUAGGCCAGGGCCAUUUCUUAUGCUUAUAAAUGUAAGACACCCCUACCCAACCCCACCUACCCAGUCUCUAGGGAAGACAUCUGUAUUUCAUAGUUUUCUCCACAUACUUGCUUAAUUUCCCCAAAUCUGUUGUCAGUCUGCAACUGGCUGUGCUAUGAACUCCUUUUAUGAAAUGAACUCACCUGGUCUGGUGCUAUGGCUUUUGAAGGAGGAACAUGUGGUGUUGACAGACGGAGAGUGUUUGAGGGGUGAUGGGAAGAUAAAGCAGUAAGACUCAAUGCCUUUUGGUUUCAGGAAAAACUACCUCCUCUGUAGGACAACAGACAGGAAGCCCUUUUCAACAGCCCUAAACUAUUUCCCAUCAAAGGAUAGUUACCCCCGGUCUAAAGCAAAUAAAAGAGCAGACCCUUCUGGGUUUGCAGCUGUAUCGCCUAAUCUCAUGCCCAGGUCAUCAACUGGAUAAAAUAGUUGAUUGAAAAAAAUAUUUGCCUAAAACCAAUUUACCUUCCAUGGUUAUUUGUUGGCUUGAGGCCCACCAUGAAUCAGAAGGCUGGUGGCAAAUGACAGGAAGGGGCUGACACUUUUGCUACAUUGUCUUUCCGAGUUCUUUUCCCAGAGUUUCAUGGCUAGAUUUAAUGGCAGUUAUCACCAAGGACUUAGGGGACUCUUUAAUUUUUUACCUUGAUUGACUCAGCAUUUUCCUGAUGAAUUAACAUUAGAGUAAAAUCCUUAGUGUCCAGUAAUAUAUGCUGAGGAAGUUUUUGUAUCAUAAAUGAAGCAAGCAGACACUUGCUUUUGAAUAGUGUGCUUCUUUGGG
Long non-coding RNA from Myotis brandtii (Brandt's bat), 2460 nucleotides. RefSeq lists it as uncharacterized. NCBI's taxonomy places the organism in Eukaryota, Metazoa, Chordata, Mammalia, Chiroptera, Vespertilionidae. The transcript has 2 exons. The record is from RefSeq and is a predicted model, not a curated record.